GACGAACGCUGGCGGCGUGCUUAACACAUGCAAGUCGAACGGAAAGGCCCUGCUUUUGUGGGGUGCUCGAGUGGCGAACGGGUGAGUAACACGUGAGUAACCUGCCCUUGACUUUGGGAUAACUUCAGGAAACUGGGGCUAAUACCGGAUAGGAGCUCCUGCUGCAUGGUGGGAGUUGGAAAGUUUCGGCGGUUGGGGAUGGACUCGCGGCUUAUCAGCUUGUUGGUGGGGUAGUGGCUUACCAAGGCUUUGACGGGUAGCCGGCCUGAGAGGGUGACCGGCCACAUUGGGACUGAGAUACGGCCCAGACUCCGACGGGAGGCAGCAGUGGGGAAUAUUGCACAAUGGGCGGAAGCCUGAUGCAGCAACGCCGCGUGCGGGAUGACGGCCUUCGGGUUGUAAACCGCUUUCGCCUGUGACGAAGCGUGAGUGACGGUAAUGGGUAAAGAAGCACCGGCUAACUACGUG
RNAcentral lists this ribosomal RNA (468 nucleotides) under uncultured bacterium. Its description in RNAcentral is "partial 16S ribosomal RNA". It matches the Rfam family "Bacterial small subunit ribosomal RNA", at positions 28 to 507 of the family's 1533-position model. The record is from RNAcentral.